GCGCGUAGGCGGAUUAUCAAGUCAGAGGUGAAAUCCCGGAGCUCAACUCCGGAACUGCCUUUGAAACUGAUAGUCUAGAGGACAGGAGAGGCAAGUGGAAUACCGAGUGUAGAGGUGAAAUUCGUAGAUAUUCGGUGGAACACCAGUGGCGAAGGCGACUUGCUGGACUGUAUCUGACGCUGAGGCGCGAAAGUGUGGGGAGCAAACAGGAUUAGAUACCCUGGUAGUCCACACCGUAAACGAUGAGAGCUAGUUGUCAGCAAGCAUGCUUGUUGGUGACGCAGCUAACGCAUUAAGCUCUCCGCCUGGGGAGUACGGCCGCAAGGUUAAAACUCAAAGAAAUUGACGGGGGCCCGCACAAGCGGUGGAGCAUGUGGUUUAAUUCGAAGCAACGCGCAGAACCUUACCUACCCUUGACAUCCUCUGACAGCUCUAGAGAUAGAGUCUUCUUCGGACAGAGUGACAGGUGCUGCAUGGCU
This 479-nucleotide ribosomal RNA is filed under the name uncultured Hyphomonadaceae bacterium. Its description in RNAcentral is "bacterial SSU rRNA". It matches the Rfam family "Bacterial small subunit ribosomal RNA", at positions 567 to 1050 of the family's 1533-position model. The record is from RNAcentral. Lineage: Bacteria; Pseudomonadati; Pseudomonadota; Alphaproteobacteria; Hyphomonadales; Hyphomonadaceae.